Molecule: ribosomal RNA, 114 nt
Filed under: Jaculus jaculus (lesser Egyptian jerboa)
Lineage: Eukaryota; Metazoa; Chordata; Mammalia; Rodentia; Dipodidae
Source: RNAcentral
GUCUGUGGACAUACCACCCUGGGCCCACUGGUCUCAUCUGAUUUUGCAAACUAAGCAGGGUCUGCUGGUUGGGACUAGAAAGGAAAACUGCAUGUAACCACCAGGUUAUGGUGC